UACGUAGGGGGCAAGCGUUGUCCGGAAUUAUUGGGCGUAAAGAGCUUGUAGGCGGUCUGUCGCGUCUGCUGUGAAAAUCCGGGGCUCAACCCCGGACUUGCAGUGGGUACGGGCAGACUAGAGUGUGGUAGGGGAGACUGGAAUUCCUGGUAUAGCGGUGAAAUGCGCAGAUAUCAGGAGGAACACCGAUGGCGAAGGCAGGUCUCUGGGCCACUACUGACGCUGAGAAGCGAAAGCAUGGGGAGCGAACAGG
RNAcentral lists this ribosomal RNA (253 nucleotides) under uncultured bacterium. RNAcentral's name for it is "partial 16S ribosomal RNA". It matches the Rfam family "Bacterial small subunit ribosomal RNA", at positions 524 to 776 of the family's 1533-position model. The record is from RNAcentral.